GUAAAGACACGUUAACGUAACACGUCAAAACCGGAAGUGUUUUUACCACGCCAGUUUAAAUCGAUUGUGUUCUAAGGUUUUUUUUCACCGCAUCUUUUCGCUGUGACAUUUAACACACGGUUAUGUUUUCUUGACCUAACAUUAACGUUAACAAUUAAAACAUUAAACAUGCGUCGUUUUAUCUUUCGGACAUUUUAUUUCUUCCGUGAAACCGAGCAGUAGGCGAACUGAAACCACAACAACAUCCGCCACUAGAAACAUGCAGGCGGAGGAAGAGGAUGAGGUGUCUGUUGAAGAGUAUGUGGCCCGGUCGAGCUUCACCGGAAAUGACAAUGACCAGCUUAGUUUUAGCAGCGGGGACGUGCUGCUCGUGCACGCCAAAACUUCGUCAGAGUGGUGGUGGGCAGAGUUGCGUGGGGUCAAAGGUUACGUUCCUGCCAGCUACCUGCUCCAGGGCGCUCAGGAGGGAGAGGAGGAGGAGGAGGAGGAGGACCCAUGGCAACAUAAAGAAUACUUUGGCAGUUAUGGGACACUGAGGCUUCACUUGGAGAUGUUGUCCGAUAAGAGCCGCACUGAGACGUACCGACAGGUUAUUCUCAGCAACAGCGCUUCUCUGAGGAACAAGGUGGUGAUGGAUCUUGGCUGCGGGACUGGCAUCAUCAGCCUUUUCUGCGCUCAACUGGCAGAACCCUCAGAGGUGUAUGCAGUGGAGGCCAGCUCCAUGGCAGAGUACACCAGACAGCUGGUGAAGCAGAACGGCUGCGAGGAGUUGGUCACGGUGCUGCAGGGACGAGCCGAGGAGAUCGAACUACCUGAGCGGGUGGACGUCCUGGUGUCGGAGUGGAUGGGAAACUGCCUGCUGUUUGAGUUCAUGGUGGAGUCGGUACUGCGGGCCAGGGACCGCUGGCUUAAGGAAGGUGGUGUCAUGUGGCCGUCAUCUGCUGCCCUCAGCCUAGUGCCAUGUCAGGCCGACAGCUAUUAUGCCGAGACCAUGGCCUUCUGGGAGCAGCCUUAUGGCCUGGACUUCACUCCUCUUCAGCCCUUGGCACAGCAAGAGUUCUUCACCAAGCCCAAGUUCAGUCAUGUGAUUGAGCCCGAAGACUGCCUAACGGCGCCCUGCGACGUCCUACAGCUGGACAUGUACACUCUGCAGGUCAAAGACCUGGAGGAAAUAAAGGGUCACUUUCAUUUCUGUGUGGAAAAGUCUGGUGUUUUUCACGGGUUCAGCGCCUGGUUCAAAGUUCAGUUUGAGAGCCUGCAGAGGGGAGGUGCCCCCGUGGAGCUCAACACCGGACCGAACUCUGAGUAUAACGGCAAAAACUCAUUCCAACUUAUGUUGUAUAGCUACAACAUUCUAACAGCCAAUACUGCUUUUUCAAAUAACGCUAAUACUUUAGGCUUUAUAAACAAUAUCGGAAUGUAUCUCUGUUACAGGCUUCAAAUUAUGUUGUUAUACUCAAGGUGUCUACAAUGGUUUUGUCUUCAGGCCCACACAUUGGAAGCAGACUCUGUUCAUGCUGGACAGGCCAGUUAGUGUGCAUGCUGAAGAUGCCAUCAGUGGAAGCAUCAGCCUGCGCAGGAACCCGGUCUGGAGACGCCACAUGACAGUCACCCUGCACUGGAGCGUUAACUGCAGCCAGGUUGGGACAAAGAGUUUCCCCAUGUGGAGGUGACAGACUUCUCCGUCGGCAUUGGCGAUCCAAGCACAUCUUCUCUCAAGUCUCGGGUCAAUGAGGUGACCUGGAAUGAAGCGUGAGGCUCAUCUGGGACGACAUGUAGUCCCGUGGUGUUGAGCGUGAUGACAACAGUCGCAGGUGAUGCAUCCUGCUCACCAUGAACCGUGUUACAAGUGCAGAUUAGGAAAUAGAUGUCACUUUGGAGCGUUGGCUGAGAGGAAAGAGGCUUUACAGAAGACAAUGAUUGACAUGAGACAUAGUCAUUUGUUUGACUGCUAUAUAUGCCAUUAGGCUUGUAUGGGUGUAAGAAAAUGUUAAGCAUUGAGGUUAAGAAACCAUUUUAUUUUCCAUUUUCAAAGAUUAAAGUGAACGAUGUACAUCAAUGAAAUUCUACAUUGCAAUUAGCCUAAUGUGCUGAAAUAGGCAUUCAAUAUGUGGUACACAAUAAAUGAAUCAUUCUGAACAAAAUAACUCAAAUUAAUAAAUCCAUUUUUAACCACAAA
This is an RNA transcript of Pungitius pungitius (ninespine stickleback), 2179 nucleotides long. It is a transcript of the gene named protein arginine methyltransferase 2, with no coding region annotated. Lineage: Eukaryota; Metazoa; Chordata; Actinopteri; Perciformes; Gasterosteidae. The record is from RefSeq and is a predicted model, not a curated record. The transcript has 8 exons.